CUACCAUGCAGUCGACGAUGAUGGGAGCUUGCUCCUGGAUUAGUGGCGAACGGGUGAGUAACACGUGAGUAACCUGCCCUUAACUCUGGGAUAAGCCUGGGAAACUGGGUCUAAUACCGGAUAUGACUCCUCAUCGCAUGGUGGGGGGUGGAAAGCUUUUUGUGGUUUUGGAUGGCCUCGCGGCCUAUCAGCUUGUUGGUGAGGUAAUGGCUUACCAAGGCGACGACGGGUAGCCGGCCUGAGAGGGUGACCGGCCACACUGGGACUGAGACACGGCCCAGACUCCUACGGGAGGCAGCAGUGGGGAAUAUUGCACAAUGGGCGCAAGCCUGAUGCAGCGACGCCGCGUGAGGGAUGACGGCUUUCGGGUUGUAAACCUCUUUCAGUAUGGAAGAAGCGAAACUGACGGUACCUGCAGAAGAAGCGCCGGCUAACUACGUGCCA
This 444-nucleotide ribosomal RNA is filed under the name Arthrobacter sp. RNAcentral describes it as "bacterial SSU rRNA". It matches the Rfam family "Bacterial small subunit ribosomal RNA", at positions 49 to 510 of the family's 1533-position model. The record is from RNAcentral. Lineage: Bacteria; Bacillati; Actinomycetota; Actinomycetes; Micrococcales; Micrococcaceae.